UACGGAGGGGACUAGCGUUGUUCGGAAUUACUGGGCGUAAAGCGCACGUAGGCGGAUUGUUUAGUCAGGGGUGAAAUCCCGAGGCUCAACCUCGGAACUGCCUUUGAUACUGGCAAUCUCGAGUCCGGAAGAGGUGAGUGGAAUUCCUAGUGUAGAGGUGAAAUUCGUAGAUAUUCGCAAGAACACCAGUGGCGAAGGCGGC
RNAcentral lists this ribosomal RNA (202 nucleotides) under uncultured bacterium. RNAcentral's name for it is "partial 16S ribosomal RNA". It matches the Rfam family "Bacterial small subunit ribosomal RNA", at positions 524 to 725 of the family's 1533-position model. The record is from RNAcentral.